Molecule: unclassified non-coding RNA, 141 nt
Organism: Pongo abelii (Sumatran orangutan)
Lineage: Eukaryota; Metazoa; Chordata; Mammalia; Primates; Hominidae
Rfam family: Metazoan signal recognition particle RNA
About the family: The signal recognition particle (SRP) is a universally conserved ribonucleoprotein. It is involved in the co-translational targeting of proteins to membranes.
Source: Ensembl
GCUGGGUGUGGUGGUGCAUGCCUGUAAUCCCAGCUACCUGGGAGGCUGAGGCAGGAGAAUCGCUUGAGCCCGGGAGGCAGAGGUUGCAGUGAGCGUGCCACUGCACUCCAGCCUGGGCGACAGAGCAAGACUCUGUCUCAA